RNAcentral lists this ribosomal RNA (481 nucleotides) under uncultured bacterium. RNAcentral's name for it is "partial 16S ribosomal RNA". It matches the Rfam family "Bacterial small subunit ribosomal RNA", at positions 355 to 828 of the family's 1533-position model. The record is from RNAcentral.
UAGGGAAUCUUCCACAAUGGACGCAAGUCUGAUGGAGCAACGCCGCGUGAGUGAAGAAGGCUUUCGGGUCGUAAAACUCUGUUGUUGGAGAAGAAUGGUCGGCAGAGUAACUGUUGUCGGCGUGACGGUAUCCAACCAGAAAGCCACGGCUAACUACGUGCCAGCAGCCGCGGUAAUACGUAGGUGGCAAGCGUUAUCCGGAUUUAUUGGGCGUAAAGCGAGCGCAGGCGGUUUUUUAAGUCUGAUGUGAAAGCCCUCGGCUUAACCGAGGAAGCGCAUCGGAAACUGGGAAACUUGAGUGCAGAAGAGGACAGUGGAACUCCAUGUGUAGCGGUGAAAUGCGUAGAUAUAUGGAAGAGCACCAGUGGCGAAGGCGGCUGUCUGGUCUGUAACUGACGCUGAGGCUCGAAAGCAUGGGUAGCGAACAGGAUUAGAUACCCUGGUAGUCCAUGCCGUAAACGAUGAAUGCUAGGUGUUGGAG